RNAcentral lists this ribosomal RNA (397 nucleotides) under uncultured bacterium. RNAcentral's name for it is "partial 16S ribosomal RNA". It matches the Rfam family "Bacterial small subunit ribosomal RNA", at positions 360 to 775 of the family's 1533-position model. The record is from RNAcentral.
AAUAUUGCACAAUGGGGGAAACCCUGAUGCAGCGACGCCGCGUGAGCGAAGAAGGCCNNNGGGUCNUCACGCUCUGUCCUAAGNGACNAAACGGACGGUACCUUAGUAGGAAGCCCCGGCUACCUACGUGCCAGCAGCCGCGGUAAUACGUAGGGGGCGCGCGUUAUCCGGAAUUACUGGGCGUAAAGGGUGCGUAGGCGGUCUUUUAAGUCAGAUGUGAAAGGCUACGGCUUAACCGUAGUUAGCAUUUGAAACUAAAAGGCUUGAGUGCAGGAGAGGAGAGUGGAAUUCCUAGUGUAGCGGUGGAAUGCGUAGAUAUUAGGAGGAACACCAGUGGCGAAGGCGACUCUCUGGACUGCAACUGACGCUGAGGCACGAAAGCGUGGGUAGCGAACAG